Long non-coding RNA from Catharus ustulatus (Swainson's thrush), 190 nucleotides. RefSeq lists it as uncharacterized. The record is from RefSeq and is a predicted model, not a curated record. NCBI's taxonomy places the organism in Eukaryota, Metazoa, Chordata, Aves, Passeriformes, Turdidae. The transcript is spliced from 3 exons.
CGCACCCCUGGUACCUGCCCCAGGCCGAGGUGGCGGCCAAGCUGCUGAGCCUGCUGCAGGAGUCGGGGGGCUCGGCCGAGGGUCCCUCCCUGCGCCUCAAGAUCGGGCACUUGGUGCGGUACUGGGUCCGCGCUUUCCCGCGGGAGCUCUCGGGGGACCCCCCGGUCCUGGAGCGGCUCCGGGAAUUGGG